RNAcentral lists this long non-coding RNA (2682 nucleotides) under Homo sapiens (human). RNAcentral's name for it is "HSALNT0355527". The record is from RNAcentral. Lineage: Eukaryota; Metazoa; Chordata; Mammalia; Primates; Hominidae.
CCCAAGCGAGUCAGAGGAGUUCCAGGUGGCCACACAUGGGCUGACCCAGUCAAGAGCAUGGCUGGGAACUGAGGGCCUGGAGGCCCUGGGCACACACAAGAGCAGGAAGCUGCCAGCAGCCCUCACAGGCCUAGGGUUUCUCAGAAGCACACUCUGAUGAUCCUCACAGUACCCCAGCCCAGGCCCCACAGCUGCUCCCCAGGGCAGCAGGAGCUCGGCAGCAUUACAGCCGACUACAGCCCCCCCACAGCCCAGACGCACUCACGCAGGCUAACAAAGGGUGCCCCAAAGUCCUGGGAGAGAAGCAAAGCGGAGACAAGGGGACAGAGCGCCCGCCUUCCCUCCCAGGGCUGUGAGGGGACCCCAGUGAGGGGACUGCAGCUGCCCCAGCUCCACGGCGCAACUGAGCUUCAGAGAGCACACGCCCGGGCCUCACACGCUGGGCCUCCUGGCCUCAGCUUGCCUACCCUGUGAGGACGACCACGAAGUCCAUGACGUUCCAGCCGUUCCGCAGUUCCAGUUCCUGCGUCCUCCCCUUGUUCCUGCCAGCGGGGGAUGGCAUCACGCAGGCAUGGUGAAUCCUGGCCCUUGGGACUUCCCUGCGCCUUGCACAGAUCGCACAGAUUGUGGUAGAUGGUCCCUUGCAAGUGUCAUCCUGCCUGAUGCAUCACCACCGAGGAAGCGACCGAAGUCAGAGACAGAGGAUGCUGCCACUCCCCAAGAAUGAAGCCGGUAGGGGAUAUUAUUGGACUUCGUAUGUGAUGGCAAUGACUCAACAGAAAGAAAAAUUGCUGAUGCAAGAAAAAGAGUGUCUUGCCUCGUCCAGGCAAGAGGGCAUCAGACUUGGGACAGCUCACUCGAGGCAGGGAAAGAAAAGCGGGUCGCACGAUUGCAGGCACAGGCACUAGGGCUCUGUGGAAGACACAGAGGAUCCCAGCAUCCAAGCACGGUGCAGCCCCUCCCGGACUUCCGCAUCUCAGAGGUCAUCACUGUCCAGAAUUUUGUGUUCACCGUUCCCUUUCUCUCUGUACAUCUACGUGCAAUUUAUUGUGCAGUUGUACAUGCUUUUGAAAUUCAUUUCUUUUUAAAAAAAAUAAAAAGUCUCGAUCUGUUGCCCAUGCUGGAGUGCAGUGGUGCCAUCUCAGCUUGCUACAACCUCUACCUCCUGGGUGUAAGCAAUUCUUGUGCCUCAGUCUCUGAGUAGCUGGGACUAUAGGAGUGCGCCACCACAACUGGCUAAUUUUUUGUAUUUUCAUAGAAGACAGGGUUUUACCAUGUUGUCCAGGCUGGUCUCGAACUCCUGAGCUUAGGCAAUCCGCCCACCUGGGCUUCCCAAAGUGCGGGGAUUACAGGUGUGAGCCACCUCGCCCAGUCCCAUGCUUUUGAAAUUCACACAAGAGAGCUAAGCUGUCGUCCUGUGGUGCUGCAGCGCACUGUGUUGUUGGGUGUAGCUGUGAAUCACUUGUUUUCACCACAUAUGUUAGUCUGUCGUGUGACAAUUUAUUGAUCCAUUCUACUUUGACGGAGAUUUGUGCUGCUGUCCAAUUCCUGCCAUUUCAAUUCUCCAAUGAACAUUUAAUGUCAUUCUCCUGGUGCUUGGACAAGAGCCUGCAGGUCUAACCCGAGGAGAGAAAUUGCUGGGCCAUGGGACGUGCCUCUCGACCUCACUGGAUGCUGCUAACUUAGGGCCCGAAGUGCAGCGAUGACCGUCCCGCAGCACCACACAGACCCUAGCUCGCUUGGCAUUGUCUCCAACACUCUAGUGUUAUCAGCCUUCAUGUUUUUGUCAGUCUGGUAGGCAUUUCAGGUCCCUCACUCUGUUUUAAUCUGCUUUUUCCUGCUCACUAAUGGAGUAGGGCAUUUUCUCACAUUCCUUGCCCAUUCACGUCUUCCCCUUUGCCAAAACGCCUGUUCAAAUCUUCCACCCACUUUUCAACUGGAUUCUGUCUCUCCUUCUGAUUGACUUGUCGAAGUCCUUACAUGUUCUGGGCACAAAUCCUCCAUCAGAUGUGUAUAGUUGCAGUAUCUUCUCUCACUCUGUGAUUUGUCUUUUGCUUAUUUCAUGAUUCUUUUGAUAUGUAGAAGUUCCUCAUUAUACUGUAACCGAAAUAUAUCCAGCUUUUCCCUAUGUUUUGUGCUUUUUGAAUCCUAGGAAAUUCUUCCUUUGUUCAUUGUUGUGAGAGAUUCUUUGGGAGAUUUGAGAAUAGAUUCUCCUAUAUUCUCUUCUAAAAUUUGUGCAGUUUUGCUUUUUCUAUUUUAAACCACUUGCAAAUGAUUUUUCUGUAUGAUGUGAGGCAGGCGCCAUUUUCAUCAUCUUAAUAUAAUUAAAUUGUCAUGACACCAUUCACAGAAGGGCCCCAACUGUCUGCUCUCUGCUCUGCUCAGACGAACUCUUCACCUGCUCUGGGCCAAUACUCCCUGCACUGAUUACAAAAGUCUUAUUAAAAGGUUAAUGCCUCUACCUGGGUUCUUCUUUGAAUUUUUUUUUUUUUUUCAGACAGGCUCUCACUCUGUCGCCCAGGCUGGAGUGCAAUGGCUGGAGUGCAAUAGCACAAUCUCAGCUCACUGCAGCCUCCACCUCCCGGGCUCAAGCAAUCCUCCUACCUCAGCUUCCCGAGUAGCUGGGACCACAGGUGUGCACCACCAUGCCCAGCUAAUUUUUGUAUUUUUUAUAGAGCCAAG